Molecule: ribosomal RNA, 566 nt
Filed under: Xylariaceae sp. BCC 20943
Lineage: Eukaryota; Fungi; Ascomycota; Sordariomycetes; Xylariales; Xylariaceae
Description: eukaryotic LSU rRNA
Rfam family: Eukaryotic large subunit ribosomal RNA
Source: RNAcentral
AAACCAACAGGGAUUGCCCUAGUAACGGCGAGUGAAGCGGCAACAGCUCAAAUUUGAAAUCUGGCUCCUUGGGGCCCGAGUUGUAAUUUGUAGAGGAUGCUUUUGGCGCGGUGCCUUCCGAGUUCCCUGGAACGGGACGCCUUAGAGGGUGAGAGCCCCGUACGGUUGGACACCAAGCCUCUGUAAAGCUCCUUCGACGAGUCGAGUAGUUUGGGAAUGCUGCUCUAAAUGGGAGGUAAAUUUCUUCUAAAGCUAAAUAUUGGCCAGAGACCGAUAGCGCACAAGUAGAGUGAUCGAAAGAUGAAAAGCACUUUGAAAAGAGGGUUAAAUAGCACGUGAAAUUGUUGAAAGGGAAGCGUUUGCGACCAGACCUUUUCCUAGCGGAUCAUCCGGUGUUCUUCACCGGUGCACUUCGCUAAGUCGAGGCCAGCAUCGGUUUCUGCAGGGGGAUAAAAGCCCAGGGAACGUAGCUCUUUCGGGAGUGUUAUAGCCCUCCGCAUAAUACCCUUGCGGGGACCGAGGACCGCGCUUUUUGCAAGGAUGCUGGCGUAAUGGUCGUCAACGAC